UUUAAGUUCAGAUGUGAAAGACCCGGGGCGUCAACCUCGGAACUGCAUUUGUAAACUAGGCAGACUAGAGUACUGUAGAGGGGGGUAGGAAUUUCUAGGUGUAGCGGUGAAAUAGCGUAGAGAUCUGAAGGAAUACCGGUGGCGAAGGCGGCCCCCUCGGACAGAUACUGACACUCAGAUGCGAAAGCGUGGGGAGCAAACAGGAUUAGAUACCCUGGUAA
This 221-nucleotide ribosomal RNA is filed under the name uncultured bacterium. RNAcentral describes it as "partial 16S ribosomal RNA". It matches the Rfam family "Bacterial small subunit ribosomal RNA", at positions 581 to 793 of the family's 1533-position model. The record is from RNAcentral.